AGCUGGUCUGAAGGUAGUAAGUUAAUUCAAUUGAUGGUUCACAGUCAGUUACAGAUCAAACUCCUUGUCUGAUAUUUCCCCACGUCUCACUACGGCACUUGACUAGUCUUAA
This 112-nucleotide Y RNA is filed under the name Saimiri boliviensis boliviensis (Bolivian squirrel monkey). Its description in RNAcentral is "Y RNA (ENSSBOG00000001852.1)". It matches the Rfam family "Y RNA". Rfam says of the family: Y RNAs are components of the Ro ribonucleoprotein particle (Ro RNP), in association with Ro60 and La proteins. The Y RNAs and Ro60 and La proteins are well conserved, but the function of the Ro RNP is not known. In humans the RNA component can be one of four small RNAs -- hY1, hY3, hY4 and hY5. Lineage: Eukaryota; Metazoa; Chordata; Mammalia; Primates; Cebidae. The record is from Rfam by way of RNAcentral.